GGCUUCUACAUCCACUGCAAUAGCUCUUGCACAACACAGGGCUGUGGAAAGAAGGAGAGACUGUGCUCAUGGCCACUCCACCCAAUUCCUCCCUAGAGGGCAAAGGUUUGGGUGGGGGAACUGGCUCUAUCGCCAGGCCACCCACCCAGGUUAGGUCUUCUGCCCGGAGCUGGGCAGAUGGGAACUGCCACUUAGCUGUCAAGCCCAUGGCGACAACAUGGAUCUCAGCAGGAGGGGUGGUUUUUAAGGAGUGAGAAGAGGUAGUUGACUCAAGCUUCAGUAUAUCCAGUUUUGCAAAACCACAGCUGAGGAUCUUAAAUGUUACUCUGACUUGGAUAAUCUGCCACUCUUAGUGACACUGUUUUCCUCACUGGGCUUGCUACAGGUUGGAAGGGAAAACUGCCCUUCAACAAUGCAAAUGCACAGCCAUUGUGUCUGCAAGUCCAGAAUUAUUGAUAAGUUUUACCUCAUUUAUUCCCUCAUCUGACACAGGCUGGAGACCAGCUUCAUUACAACUACUUUCUAGAAGAAGAAACAAAAUUGUUUGGCAGCAUGCUCAAAGUGAUGAAUUGUGAAAAUGAAUGAAAUAUCCUUGUAACAUCUUUGGAUGUCUCUUAAUGUAUCUCUCCAUUUUUCUUCCAAAGGCCAUUUGUUUGUUAAGAUCUUCCCAGGGAAGAGACUUGCAGUGCAUACUUCAAACAUCAAUUUGAAAUGAUUCUUCAGGUGCGAUGCCAGCAACUUUCACAUGCCUCCUUCACGUGGCCUCUGUGAUCUCUGGCAUGUCCUCUUUUUCCCCUCCCUGCCCAAGUGCAUUCUGAAUAACAAGGACUUCUGGCUGGACUUACUGUUUGGGUCAAGUUCAGAGAGUGUUCUUGUGUUUCUUUCAUCAUCUAAUAAAGAUGGGAGGCGGAGGUCAGGGGAAGCACGUCUUGGAGAUGAAGGGCAAAUUGAGAUCUUUGAUUCAAAGAGCGUGGCUCCAUCACUUUCUCUUGCACAGAAAUUGUAUUCAUCCCACACUUCCUACUGCAAAUCACUCUGGUACGACGUGACAAUGCAGCAGAUACACAAGGACGUUUCCCACAUCGCACUACAAACAUAGACACCCUCUCCGGGGAACCUAAGAGAAACCCUUGGGCUUCCACUUCCCCUCCAUUUGUUUGAAGGAUCAAGAGAACACAGUUCCAUUUUCAACAAAAAUGAAAAAGGAAAAUCAUGAAAAGAGCCAACCUCCUUUUUUUCUCUCUUAAUAUAUUGUUGCAUCCAGGGAAGAGGAAGCAGUGAGCGCCACUGAUACUGGGUCCCUGGGGACCCUAUAAGGGUCACUCCCCAGCUCUCAAAUGAGCUCGUCUUCCUCCGCUUGCAGAGCAAAUUCAUAAUGGGACUGGAAGUUACUCUUGGCUCAGGUCUGCUCUGCAGAAAAUGAAGUACCCUGGUGCUUCAGGGAACCAGGCUGUCUUCCCACCUGGGUUUUUACAGGGAGGACAGUUUUUAGCUUUAAAGCUUUGCAGGUUUGGAGUAAGGAGAUUUGAAAGGCCCUGAGCUGUGUUCCUGCCAGGCUCCAUAGGCCUGUAAGCACUGUGUGUUCCUUAAGGGUAGGGGCAGUCUCCUACUACAUGUUUUUGUUUCUUAUUUCUUCUUAAGGUGCUUUCUGUGGUGCCAUGGACCAAUUCACUUUGGGACUUAAAAUGUGACAACAUCUUAUUUAUUCUGUACUGUUGCAAAGUAAUGUGUGCACUGGAUAAAAUUUUCCAGACAACUGGACUGUCAGCCUUUGAGAAUUGAAUAGUUUAAAAUGAAAAUGUGUUUGGAGUGCAUUUAGUUAAUAAAUAUGGUAGAGAUGAUGAACUGUUCUUUGACCGUGCAAGUCCAUUAUUAGGAACAUGUACUAUUUUACUGGCUGGAUCAGAGAUGGCCCCAGGGCCUGUGGAGAUAAGAACUCCUUGAGCCUCCCCUUGGGGUCCUAGGGCUCCCCCUCGUGCCCUCGGUUUGCUGGGUUCUAACUCUGUGCCCCUUUGUCUCCACUGGUACCGUUUCUUCCCAGGGUCCGUGUCUGAGAAGCUUCACUCAGUCUUGACUAUUUCCUUCUUCACUGAUCAUAACCCAGAAUAAAACUGAGAGAAACCAGAUGGACUUACUUGUACAUAUACUAUUUGGCAAGUAGGUUCUCUUGCUAAUCAAGUAAAGAGCGUGGGUUUUAU
This is a long non-coding RNA of Bos taurus (domestic cattle), 2198 nucleotides long. The record is from Ensembl. NCBI's taxonomy places the organism in Eukaryota, Metazoa, Chordata, Mammalia, Artiodactyla, Bovidae.